CACGCAGGCGGACUGAUAAGUCGGGGUGAAAUACCCGGGCGUCAACCUCGGAACUGCCUUCGAUACUGCCAGUCUUGAGUCCGGGAGAGGUGAGUGGAAUUCCUAGUGUAGAGGUGAAAUUCGUAGAUAUUAGGAAGAACACCAGUGGCGAAGGCGACUCACUGGCCCGGUACUGACGCUCAGGUGCGAAAGCGUGGGGAGCAAACAGGAUUAGAUACCCUGGUAGUCCACGCCGUAAACGAUGGAUGCUAGCCGUCGGGCAGCUUGCUGUUCAGUGGCGCAGCUAACGCUUUAAGCAUCCCGCCUGGGGAGUACGGCCGCAAGGUUAAA
This 330-nucleotide ribosomal RNA is filed under the name uncultured bacterium. RNAcentral's name for it is "bacterial SSU rRNA". It matches the Rfam family "Bacterial small subunit ribosomal RNA", at positions 568 to 898 of the family's 1533-position model. The record is from RNAcentral.